RNAcentral lists this ribosomal RNA (468 nucleotides) under uncultured bacterium. RNAcentral's name for it is "partial 16S ribosomal RNA". It matches the Rfam family "Bacterial small subunit ribosomal RNA", at positions 28 to 507 of the family's 1533-position model. The record is from RNAcentral.
GACGAACGCUGGCGGCGUGCUUAACACAUGCAAGUCGAACGGAAAGGCCCUGCUUUUGUGGGGUGCUCGAGUGGCGAACGGGUGAGUAACACGUGAGUAACCUGCCCUUGACUUUGGGAUAACUUCAGGAAACUGGGGCUAAUACCGGAUAGGAGCUCCUGCUGCAUGGUGGGGGUUGGAAAGUUUCGGCGGUUGGGGAUGGACUCGCGGCUUAUCAGCUUGUUGGUGGGGUAGUGGCUUACCAAGGCUUUGACGGGUAGCCGGCCUGAGAGGGUGACCGGCCACAUUGGGACUGAGAUACGGACCAGACUCCUACGGGAGGCAGCAGUGGGGAAUAUUGCACAAUGGGCGGAAGCCUGAUGCAGCAACGCCGCGUGCGGGAUGACGGCCUUCGGGUUAUAAACCGCUUUGGCCUGUGACGAAGCGUGAGUGACGGUAAUGGGUAAAGAAGCACCGGCUAACUACGUG